RNAcentral lists this transfer RNA (63 nucleotides) under Rhinebothrium reydai. RNAcentral's name for it is "tRNA-Pro". Lineage: Eukaryota; Metazoa; Platyhelminthes; Cestoda; Rhinebothriidea; Rhinebothriidae. The record is from RNAcentral.
CUAACCCUAGUUUAAUAUAGAAUAGAAGUUUUGGGGAUUUUUGGUCUCUUUUGAGGGGUUUGG